GAGGAUGUCAGCCGCGGGCGGCGUCCUGAGCGCAAAACGUGAACCCGAGUCGCCAAGUUUGGGCGCUGCUGGACGGUCCCAUCUGGAGGCCGUCCCGUGCCCCACUAAGUAGAGGAGAAACCGAAGAGAAUCCGAAGAAAGGAUGCUGCGGCCUGGACCACCAGCCCUAGAGGCUGAACCCAAGGACACCCCUCCACCUAGCCCCGACCCCAUUCACCCACACAGACGCACAGGGACCCAAAGCACCCGGCCGACCUGGAAAGUCAGCGAUUCCUGCGAGGGUGCAAGGGGCGAGGAAGAGGGAGCGUCCCCCAGGGCAGCCCCUCCGACACUCGAGCAAGGGCUGGAGACAGCGCAGGGGACGGUCGGCUCAGGUCGAAAGCGGCCCGACAGCGGCCCUGUCCUGGGAGGAACUCGACCUGCAGUGUGCCCGCCGCGGGGACUCGCUCAGCUCCGGGGGCGCCUCGCCACUCCCGGCCGCAGGCACUCAGGGAGGAACUGUCCAACUGUAACUGACAGAGGAGGCAGAAGUGCCUGCCAAGAAUGGAGGGUCUGGUCUGGGGACCAGCUGAAGGCUCAUCGGGCUCAUACUGCUGGCACCAGGGCUGUCGACCAGGGCACCUACUUGGGGGCUUCCCCACGCAGACUCCCUUCCUUGCUAGCUUUGAUAGACUCAGCGGCUAUGUUGGGAAGUCCUGCACAGGAGGAGCCCAAGGCUUGUGUCAGAGAAGGGGCUGCAGCUGCUACUGUGUUCUCUGGGCUCCUUGCAUUCAGAGCCCGGAGCUACCAAGUGGGAGUCAGACCACCUGAGCCCUCAUGUCGUGAGGAUGCCCUAGGGACUGUAUUAGUCAUCUGUAACUGUGUAACAAAUGACCACAGAUUUCAUGGUUUAAAACCACA
RNAcentral lists this long non-coding RNA (900 nucleotides) under Homo sapiens (human). RNAcentral's name for it is "HSALNT0391813". Lineage: Eukaryota; Metazoa; Chordata; Mammalia; Primates; Hominidae. The record is from RNAcentral.